GUGUCAGCAGCCGCGGUAAGACGUAGGAUGCAAGCGUUGUCCGGAAUUAUUGGGCGUAAAGAGUUCGUAGGCGGUUGCCUAAGUCUGAUGUUAAAUACUGGAGCUCAACUCCGGCAUGGCAUUGGAAACUGGGUGGCUAGAGUGCGGUAGAGGUCACAGGAAUUCCAGGUGUAGCGGUGAAAUGCGUAGAUAUCUGGAGGAACACCAGUGGCGAAAGCGUGUGACUGGGCCGCAACUGACGCUGAGGAACGAAAGCCAGGGGAGCGAAAGGGAUUAGAUACCCCUGUAGUCCUGGCCGUAAACGAUGGAUACUAGGUGUAGGAGGAUUCGACCCCUUCUGUGCCGUAGCUAACGCGAUAAGUAUCCCGCCUGGGGAGUACGACCGCAAGGUUGAA
RNAcentral lists this ribosomal RNA (395 nucleotides) under uncultured bacterium. RNAcentral's name for it is "bacterial SSU rRNA". It matches the Rfam family "Bacterial small subunit ribosomal RNA", at positions 505 to 898 of the family's 1533-position model. The record is from RNAcentral.